UCCCAGAGACUUAUCAGAGAUGCAUUGGUGCCUUCGGGACUCUGAGACAGGUGCUGCAUGGCUGUCGUCAGCUCGUGUUGUGAAAUGUUGGGUUAAGUCCCGCAACGAGCGCAACCCUUAUCCUUUGUUGCCAGCGGUCCGGCCGGGAACUCAAAGGAGACUGCCAGUGAUAAACUGGAGGAAGGUGGGGAUGACGUCAAGUCAUCAUGGCCCUUACGAGUAGGGCUACACACGUGCUACAAUGGCGCAUACAAAGAGAAGCGACCUCGCGAGAGCAAGCGGACCUCAUAAAGUGCGUCGUAGUCCGGAUUGGAGUCUGCAACUCGACUCCAUGAAGUCGGAAUCGCUAGUAAUCGUGGAUCAGAAUGCCACGGUGAAUACGUUCCCGGGUCUUGUUACACACCGA
Molecule: ribosomal RNA, 406 nt
Filed under: uncultured bacterium
Lineage: Bacteria
Description: bacterial SSU rRNA
Rfam family: Bacterial small subunit ribosomal RNA
Source: RNAcentral